UGGAUUAGGCAUGCAAGUCGAACGCGAAAGGGGCUUCGGCCCCGAGUAAGUGGCGAACGGGUGAGUAACGCGUGGGGAAUCUGCCCUAGAGCGGGGAAUAACACUCCCGACGGGGUGCUAAUACCGCAUAACAUCGCUGGAUGGCAUCAUUCGGCGAUCAAAGGUGGGGAUCGCAAGACCUGCCACUCUGGGAUGAUCCCGCGUCCGAUUAGCUAGUUGGUAGGGUAAUGGCCUACCAAGGCUCCGAUCGGUAGCUGGUCUGAGAGGAUGGUCAGCCACACUGGGACUGAGAUACGGUCCAGACUCCUACGGGAGGCAGCAGUCGAGAGGCUUCGGCAAUGGGCGAAAGCCUGACCGAGCGACGCCGCGUGAGCGAUGAAGCCCUUCGGGGUGUAAAGCUCUUUUGUGGGGGAAGAACUGGUGCGACCUAAUACGUCGUACCUUGACGGUACCCUGCGAAAUAAGCUCCGGCUAACUCCGUGCCAGCGGCCGCGGUAAUACGGGGGGAGCAAACGUUGUUCGGAAUCACUGGGCGUAAAGGGCGCGUANGCGGUCCUGUAAGUGGUGUGUGAAUCCGAUGGCUCANCAUCGAGCUGCGCUCNUACUGCAGGACUUGAGUACAGCAAAGGAAAGUGGAAUUCCCNGGUGUACCGGUGAAAUGCGUAAAUUUCNGGGAGGAACCCNGUUGGCGAAGNCGACUUUCUGGGCUGCUACUGACCUGAUGCGCAAA
This 730-nucleotide ribosomal RNA is filed under the name uncultured Pelobacter sp. Its description in RNAcentral is "bacterial SSU rRNA". It matches the Rfam family "Bacterial small subunit ribosomal RNA", at positions 45 to 757 of the family's 1533-position model. Lineage: Bacteria; Pseudomonadati; Thermodesulfobacteriota; Desulfuromonadia; Desulfuromonadales; Desulfuromonadaceae. The record is from RNAcentral.